RNAcentral lists this ribosomal RNA (174 nucleotides) under uncultured bacterium. RNAcentral describes it as "partial 16S ribosomal RNA". It matches the Rfam family "Eukaryotic small subunit ribosomal RNA", at positions 412 to 585 of the family's 1831-position model. The record is from RNAcentral.
AUCCUACGGGAGGCAGCAGGCGCGCAAAUUACCCAUUUCCGACUCGGAGAGGUAGUGACGAAAAAUAACAAUACAGGUCUCUUUCGAGGCCCUGUAAUUGGAAUGAGCGUAUCCUAAACCCAUGGGCGAGGACCCAUUGGAGGGCAAGUCUGGUGCCAGCAGCCGCGGUAAUAA